CCAGAGAGCAUCACUUUAUUAGGGCAUGUCUUCCUUUCCACUAGAAAGUAAACCGGUUUUUACUGAUGGCCAAAGAGAGGCAUUUUCACAUGCAGGGCUGCACUUUAUGAUUAUCAGUUUACUACAAAUUGAACAGCAAUGACCAUUUCAUCCGUCUCUUCCCAGGCUGGAACCAGGCAGUCUUCCUCUCCGUUGACACGUCUGCCUCACUUACUAGCAAUGCCCACUGUCCACUCCUGCCCUUGGUAUACAUCAGAAGAGAAGUAAUGAGGGGGACUCCUACAAACCAAUCUGAUGCUCCAUCCGUUCAUUUACGUUGGUAGCUGUCUGCAGAAGAAGCUGCGGACUAGUAUUCAAACAGAUGAGUAAAGAAAACUGGAAGAAUAUAUUCCAAAAUAAUGCCUCUCUGGCUGUUCCAAUUGCUGCCUGAACUUAUCCCCGUGCCGUCUCACGCUGUCUGCCAGUUCUUUCACUGGAAUAUGUUACCCAGUCUCCUUGGAAUCAUUGCCGGGUCUCCUUGGAAUGGAAACUGUGUCCGACUCCAGGGGUGAG
Long non-coding RNA from Camelus dromedarius (Arabian camel), 552 nucleotides. RefSeq lists it as uncharacterized. The record is from RefSeq and is a predicted model, not a curated record. Lineage: Eukaryota; Metazoa; Chordata; Mammalia; Artiodactyla; Camelidae. The transcript is spliced from 3 exons.